CAAAAGAGCAAGUCAGGGAACUAGCUUUGGUUGGGUUCGGUGGUACACAAAGCACAAGGCCUGGGUUGGGGUUAGGAGGAAAUGAGACUUGCGGCGGGUCGGGGCUGAAGAUGUGGCAGCGCCCUGAACCUGGAGAAAGGCUGAAUCCCUUUGGUCAAGGAGAGGGAGAGAGAGGUAAGGGUCUGGUCUUACUUUUUAAGCAGGAAGAAGACUACAAACCACCAUCUACCAUCUGCCAGGCCCUGGAAUUUGAACCACCAUCUUCUGGAAUUUGAAUCACCAUCUUCUGGACUGACUCAAAUGCAGAGGAAGCCAGGCCUGCUGCUAACAUUUCUGAGAGGCGGCAAGAGUAUAAAUGGAGAUCCACAUAUGUAUAAAUAAAGAGUGUGAAUCAAGCUAACAAACUGUUUAAUAAAAUAUGAUCUACCCUCUUAGCUUGACAAAUCAACUUUUCAAACACCUGGAAGAACAAGUUUGCACUCAGGAUUCUCAGACUCCUCAGAGUUCUGCACUGGGAUGUGGAAGGGCUGUGCAAGCCAGCCCUUGGGUCCCUGAUCCCUGUCUCCUGGCCUGUGCCCGUCUCUUCUCAGCCUGGCUCCAACUCCCAUUGAGAGGAAGUUCUUGUACACAUAUGAUACUGCAGCCCCUAUGUCUAAUAUUUAUCCAUACCUUCUGCAAACAGCCACUGUGUGACCACCCUUGGGCUUCCCAGGGGUCUGCAAACUGACAAUACAGACAAAGGGAACCAAGGCAGAGGCUCACAGACUGUAGAAAUGGGCUUGGGGCCAUUUGGGCAGAGACUUGUGGAAUCCCAGCACGAUCACUCUGGGUGCUGUGUGAAAUGGAUGAAUAGCAAGGAGCUGCAGCCAAGAGCAAAUCAACAGAAGCACCACUCAAAAUGCCUCAGUACCCAUUACAUAAGGAUUCUUGUGAUUAAUUCUUCCCCAAAAUUUAGAGCCAAGAAAAAUCCAGCUCUCCUACUGAGAGUUGUAGAUUAGAGCUUCUGUUUCUAAUCUACAAACAAAUGUGUGCAAUGUCUUUUCAUGACAAUUCCAACUUUAUCAUAAGGUUGUCUACUAAGAAACUAGCAGGCAGGUUUCUCUUGUCUAGACCACCUGAAAGCUCAUAGCUGAGUUUGCACUUAUUUGCAGAGUAAACUGCUCAUUUAUCAAUCUGGCAUCCAAUCACAACUUUUUAGCUAACUACCUAUAUGUUUUCAUAAACUUUUCUCACACAGUAUAAAUUUUAAAUAAAUAACUAGCAAUUAAGUAGUAACAACUCGAGACUGGUAUCUGACUAGUGGUUCCUUCACCAGUGUGUACACUGGAAGUUUUGUUUUGUUUUUUGAUGUUUGUACAUUGUAAUUGCAGGACAGGUAGUAAGAAGAUUUCAAAUUCACAUUAGCUUUGCUACCACUAAAUUAUGGUGACUGUUUCUAAUUUGCAAACAAAUGUAUGCAAUCUCUUUUUAUGAUUAUCCCGACUUUAUCGUAAGGUUGUUAUAUUUUAAGACAUAUGAAAAGGUAUAAAGUAUAAUACAGUGAAUACAUAUAUAUCUAACUCCCAGUUUAAGAAAUAAAACAUUAGCAAAUACAGCUGAAGUUCCAUGAAUUCCCCUCCCAAAUCAUACUCCCUUCCCACCCGCAGAGGGAACCUCUAUUCUGAGCCUGGUGUUUAUCACCACCAAGAAUUAAAAAAAUACUUUUACUAUAUAUACACAAGUAUGUACCCCUUAGAAAUGAGUAGUAGUACUGUUCUGUGUGUCUUUACACUUUAAGUAAAUGGUAUAAGUUUUUUCUUGUUUUUGCUCAAAAUUGUUGAUAUUUAUGCCCUUUGAUUCUAUAGCUGACUGACUUUCACUGUGAGUCAUUCCAUCAUUAUUUCUGUAUUCAUUCUCCUGCUGAAGUACAUUUCAGGUUGUUGCUAUUCCUCUGCUGAUCCCCCUCCCCCAACACACAUGAUUUGUUAAUAAAUCUGCUGGAACAUUCUUGCAUACA
This 1996-nucleotide non-coding RNA is filed under the name Pan troglodytes (chimpanzee). Lineage: Eukaryota; Metazoa; Chordata; Mammalia; Primates; Hominidae. The record is from RNAcentral.